AAGGCUAUGUUGGCCGGGCGACGGUUGUCCCGGUUUAAGCGUGUAGGUGUGUGUUCCAGGUAAAUCCGGUUCACUUUAACACUGAGGCGUGAUGACGAGGCACUACGGUGCUGAAGCAACAAAUGCCCUGCUUCCAGGAAAAGCCUCUAAGCAUCAGGUAACAUCAAAUCGUACCCCAAACCGACACAGGUGGUCAGGUAGAGAAUACCAAGGCGCUUGAGAGAACUCGGGUGAAGGAACUAGGCAAAAUGGUGCCGUAACUUCGGGAGAAGGCACGCUGACAC
RNAcentral lists this ribosomal RNA (284 nucleotides) under Salmonella enterica. Its description in RNAcentral is "partial 23S ribosomal RNA". It matches the Rfam family "Bacterial large subunit ribosomal RNA", at positions 1478 to 1757 of the family's 2925-position model. The record is from RNAcentral. RNAcentral also lists the same sequence under 1 other name. Lineage: Bacteria; Pseudomonadati; Pseudomonadota; Gammaproteobacteria; Enterobacterales; Enterobacteriaceae.